CAUCCCUGUGGCCUCACUUCCUCUGAGCUAUGGGGUGUUCCUGUCUUGCAGCCUCCCUUCAACCCUGCCCCUGGGGGUGCUCGGACCUGGCUGUGGACCUGUGCUCCAGGAAUUACCUGAAACGCGGAAGAAUCUUAAAAAGAUUGACUUCACUGGAAAGCAUGAAGCGGUACCUCUACAGUCCAAAGAAGUGUUGGUUAUCAGAAGAAAAUGUGUACUUUUGGAGUGGCCUAAUUGACGAGUCCAGCAAUUUUCUGUGAAGUGUUGACAGCGAGCAGACCUUUGUUUGCAGAGAAAAAGAUGCGAUCAUCAGUACAUUGCAGAGGCCCGGCACUCACAGUCCCCUAUUAGCUUUGUGCAUUACUGACCUCCACAGGCAUUUCAGGGGAAGACACAGCAGGAAGAG
Molecule: long non-coding RNA, 406 nt
Organism: Agelaius phoeniceus (red-winged blackbird)
Lineage: Eukaryota; Metazoa; Chordata; Aves; Passeriformes; Icteridae
Source: RefSeq, a predicted model, not a curated record